UGGGCAUUGCUACUAGUAUAUAAUAUGAGUGUAAGGAUAGAAGUACUUAUUUAACAUUUUAAUCUAUAAUUUCUUGAAGCUUGAAUCUUCUAUGUCUUCAUAGUCUUCCUCAUUUUCUUCGUUUUGUCUUCAGGAGCAAGAUCUUCUUCACAAGGAAAAUAACAUCACCUUCUUUUUAUCUUUCAAAAGAUUGUCAUACAAGUAC
Molecule: long non-coding RNA, 205 nt
Filed under: Lupinus angustifolius (narrow-leaved blue lupine)
Lineage: Eukaryota; Viridiplantae; Streptophyta; Magnoliopsida; Fabales; Fabaceae
Description: long non-coding RNA (LANG_LNC003526)
Source: RNAcentral